CCUUUUUCGUCGCCUGAGACAACAACAAAAACAGAUCUAAGAAGGAUGGACGAAGGAGACGAGUACAACGACAACGUAUAAGGAGAUUCGAAGUUUGAUUUCGGAUUCAAAGCCUACUGAUUUUCGUUCCAUAGUUUCUCUCGCUUUUCUGCUUUCGAUUCUAAAAGCCAUGGAAUCCGAUGGAGCUUUGAUUGAGGCUUGAUACGCCGUUGAUUUGAGGGUUGUCGUUUGUGGUGGAAGUUCGUGGUUUCUGCUGGUUUUUAGCCGCUGAUUUCGCUCGAAUUUAGAGUCGAAACUUGGUUGUGAAUAUAGGUACCCAAGAGCUAGGUUAAGAUGAGUUUUCUUUUACAUGUGUUUAUGUGGUGAUAUAAUUGUUAUGGUGCAUUUAUGAGUUAAUUUCCAGUCGUUUGAUUUUUCCGAAUCUGAUUUCCCUCGGUUUAAUUAGCUUCUUGUAUUCUAUCACUGUUGGUAUAAUACAAUGUAAAAAUGUUAAGGGAAGAUGUUGAGUCAACAGUCAACAACACAUCUGAUUCUUCUUGGCUUAAGUAAACUUCGAUAAUGUUGAGUCACGAACCAUAGAAAUUUGUUAUAAGUCGUUCACUAACUUAUUGAAAAACAUAGAGUGCAA
Nicotiana tabacum (common tobacco) is the source of this 628-nucleotide long non-coding RNA. RefSeq lists it as uncharacterized. The record is from RefSeq and is a predicted model, not a curated record. NCBI's taxonomy places the organism in Eukaryota, Viridiplantae, Streptophyta, Magnoliopsida, Solanales, Solanaceae.